This 468-nucleotide ribosomal RNA is filed under the name uncultured bacterium. RNAcentral describes it as "partial 16S ribosomal RNA". It matches the Rfam family "Bacterial small subunit ribosomal RNA", at positions 28 to 507 of the family's 1533-position model. The record is from RNAcentral.
GACGAACGCUGGCGGCGUGCUUAACACAUGCAAGUCGAACGGAAAGGCCCUGCUUUUGUGGGGUGCUCGAGUGGCGAACGGGUGAGUAACACGUGAGUAACCUGCCCUUGACUUUGGGAUAACUUCAGGAAACUGGGGCUAAUACCGGAUAGGAGCUCCUGCUGCAUGGUGGGGGUUGGAAAGUUUCGGCGGUUGGGGAUGGACGCGCGGCUUAUCAGCUUGUUGGUGGGGUAGGGGUUUACCAAGUGUUUGACGGGUAGCCGGCCUGAGAGGGUGACCGGCCACAUUGGUACUGAGAUACGGCCCAGACUCCUACGGGAGGCAGCAGUGGGGAAUAUUGCACAAUGGGCGGAAGCCUGAUGCAGCAACGCCGCGUGCGGGAUGCCGGCCUUCGGGUUGUAAACCGCUUUCGCCUGUGACGAAGCGUGAGUGACGGUAAUGGGUAAAGAAGCACCGGCUAACUACGUG